CGAACGGGUGAGUAACACGUGAGUUACCUGCCCCAAAGUCUGGGACAGCCUUCCGAAAGGGAGAUUAAUACCGGAUGUGAUGGCAACAUUAAAGGUGGAGCAAUCUGCCGCUUUGGGAUGGGCUCGCGGCCUAUCAGCUUGUUGGUGAGGUAAAGGCUCACCAAGGCGAUGACGGGUAGCUGGUCUGAGAGGACGACCAGUCACACUGGAACUGAGACACGGUCAG
RNAcentral lists this ribosomal RNA (226 nucleotides) under uncultured bacterium. RNAcentral describes it as "partial 16S ribosomal RNA". It matches the Rfam family "Bacterial small subunit ribosomal RNA", at positions 99 to 334 of the family's 1533-position model. The record is from RNAcentral.